RNAcentral lists this ribosomal RNA (21 nucleotides) under Erica johnstoniana. Its description in RNAcentral is "partial 28S ribosomal RNA". Lineage: Eukaryota; Viridiplantae; Streptophyta; Magnoliopsida; Ericales; Ericaceae. The record is from RNAcentral.
AAUGCGACCCCAGGUCAGGCG